This 720-nucleotide ribosomal RNA is filed under the name Fasciola gigantica. Its description in RNAcentral is "eukaryotic LSU rRNA". The stretch from base 486 to 720 matches the Rfam family "Eukaryotic large subunit ribosomal RNA", at positions 1 to 134 of the family's 3401-position model. Lineage: Eukaryota; Metazoa; Platyhelminthes; Trematoda; Plagiorchiida; Fasciolidae. The record is from RNAcentral.
GGUCGAGUGAGCGUCGGCUUGUGGUGCAUUUUAGCAACUCGCAUACUGCUUUGAACAUCGACAUUUUGAACGCAUCUUGAGGCCAUGGGUUAGCCUGUGGCCACGCCUGUCCGAGGGUCGGCUUAUAAACUAUCACGACGCCCAAAAAGUCGUGGCUUGGGUUUUGCCAGCUGGCGUGAUCUCCUCUAUGAGUAAUCAUGUGAGGUGCCAGAUCUAUGGCGUUUCCCUAAUGUAUCCGGAUGCACCCUUGUCUUGGCAGAAAGCCGUGGUGAGGUGCAGUGGCGGAAUCGUGGUUUAAUAAUCGGGUUGGUACUCAGUUGUCAGUGUGUUCGGCGAUCCCCUAGUCGGCACACUCAUGAUUUCUGGGAUAAUUCCAUACCAGGCACGUUCCGUUACUGUUACUUUGUCAUUGGUUUGAUGCUGAACUUGGUCAUGUGUCUGAUGCUAUUUCAUAUAACGACGGUACCCUUCGUGGUCUGUCUUCCUGACCUCGGUUCAGACGUGAUUACCCGCUGAACUUAAGCAUAUCACUAAGCGGAGGAAAAGAAAACUAACAAGGAUCCCACGGACGAGAGAUAAACAAGGAUCCACGCGCCGAGGGGAUACACGGAAUCCACGCCCCCCAUUCAUUCUCCGAUUUCACCGCCCCGAGGGCUCCAUUGUAUUCACGGCCCCGGGGGCUCGCUGGGAUACCAGAGCCCAGACACGGUUGGUUUUCCU